This 481-nucleotide ribosomal RNA is filed under the name uncultured bacterium. RNAcentral's name for it is "partial 16S ribosomal RNA". It matches the Rfam family "Bacterial small subunit ribosomal RNA", at positions 28 to 507 of the family's 1533-position model. The record is from RNAcentral.
GAUGAACGCUGGCGGCGUGCUUAACACAUGCGAGUCGAACGAAGCACUUUAUUUGAUUUCCUUCGGGACUGAUUAUUUUGUGACUGAGUGGCGGACGGGUGAGUAACGCGUGGGUAACCUGCCUUGUACAGGGGGAUAACAGUUGGAAACGGCUGCUAAUACCGCAUAAGCGCACAGCAUCGCAUGAUGCAGUGUGAAAAACUCCGGUGGUAUAAGAUGGACCCGCGUUGGAUUAGCUAGUUGGUGAGGUAACGGCCCACCAAGGCGACGAUCCAUAGCCGACCUGAGAGUGUGACCGGCCACAUUGGGACUGAGACACGGCCCAAACUCCUACGGGAGGCAGCAGUGGGGAAUAUUGCACAAUGGGCGAAAGCCUGAUGCAGCGACGCCGCGUGAGCGAAGAAGUAUUUCGGUAUGUAAAGCUCUAUCAGCAGGGAAGAUAAUGACGGUACCUGACUAAGAAGCACCGGCUAAAUACGUG